GGGGGGGGGGGGGGGGGGGGGGGGGGGGGGGGGGGGGGGGGGGGGGGGGGUGGGGGCGGGGGGGUAGGGGGGGCGGGUGGCGUGGGGGGGGGGAGUACAUCGGCGUCGGCUGUUCCGGGGGGGAGGACGUGGGGAAACUGACGCUAAUGGCGCAUACGGCCUACGGGUGAUAGCAUGGGGGCUUGGGACGUUGAGAGAUGUAGCGACCCGAAGUCUGAUUAGCUAGGGGGCGGGGUAAAGGCCCACCAAGGCGCCGAUCCGUAGCUGGUCUGAGAGGAUGAUCAGCCACACUGGAACUGAGACACGGGCCAGACUCCUACGGGAGGCAGCAGUGGGGAAUAUUGGACAAUGGGCGCAAGCCGGAUCCAGCCAUACCGCGUGGGUGAAGAAGGCCUUCGGGUUGUAAAGCCCUUUUGUUGGGAAAGAAAAGCAGCAGGUUAAUACCCCGCUGUUCUGACGGUACCCAAAGAAUAAGCACCGGCUAACUUCG
This 490-nucleotide ribosomal RNA is filed under the name uncultured bacterium. RNAcentral describes it as "partial 16S ribosomal RNA". The stretch from base 55 to 490 matches the Rfam family "Bacterial small subunit ribosomal RNA", at positions 38 to 505 of the family's 1533-position model. The record is from RNAcentral.